UAUUUAGAUUAGGGUUCCAGUAUGUUCUUCUUCUUCCGGCGAAUUCUUGACCUCCGACUUUUUCUUAUUAUUCUUUCUUUACCUUACUCUCUUGGAAAUAGCAAUUCUUAUUAGUCGUGAUCCACUGUUAAAGAGAGCAAUUCUGGAAAAGUUUCCUCCGACCGAAAUUUUCGAUCAGCAGCAGAAACCGGUAAAGAAGCCUGUUGCCGCUGAUAAAACGAAAAAACCUAACCUUUCACAGCAUCUCCGGCGAAGAAAACUUGCAGAGUUCGCAUCUGAAGAGAAACGGUAUCUCCAUGAAUGCAUCGUACUCUUCAGAGGCGUCGUCUUCGUGCGAGUCGUCUCCGUUGAGUGUGGCGUCUACUUCUAGCGGUAAUGGGCUUUGCGGCGUACCGGGUCUAUGACAGAGGAGAGAGAUGGAAGUGAUUGAAGUAGCAGGAGAUGACGAUUGGUUUCCUCCACCGCCGAAGGUUGUCUUCGAUAAAAGCAAAAAAAUCCAGUGAAGAUUCUAUCAUUAACGCUUUGCGGUCAGAAAUUGUAGUAGAUGUCCAGAAGAUUUAGCUAAUGUGUGUCGAAAUGCUAUUCCUCGACAAGACAAUCCCAGCAGCAGUGUUAUAAUCUUUACUUUUGUGAGAAACUCAUCUACAACCAGCGCCACCGUCAAUCAUCUCCUACCAUUGUACAUGUGUCUCCUCUUUGAAUCUAUAUCUUCCAGUGAAGGAGAUUGUUUGAUUAGUUUUUGUGAAAUCUUAAGAUCUAGAAGUUUUUGUGAAUCACGACUUCUAGAUCAGUUUCACCAAAUGUGUUGGACAGGCUCCUUUUCCAUUCAUUCAAAGAAUUGAAACAAACUGUGGUCUAAGAGGUGCACUUAACUUUUUUUUUCCAGAAUUUGAUUCAGGAGAUGAGGAAAUCACCAAUGAUGGGUCUCAAAAUGGAUAACUCAGAAGAAGAAAAGGAAACAACAGUGAAGAAAAAAGAAAAGGUGGAACCACGGAGCAAGAAACCAAAUUGUGGAGCAAUGAACAACACUAACAUAGUUGUGACAAAAAAUCAGAAGUUGGAAGUCAGCAUAAGUGUCAGGAGAGUAUAAAUGGCACAAGUGGGGCGGUAUUUAUCCUCCAAAAAGAAACUAGAGAAUGACCAAGUCACAUUUUAAUAUAAAGAUUUGAUAGUUUUUCCUAAUGGUGAAUGGUUGAGUGAUUCUUUGACCCAAAAAGAAGAAGAAUGGUUGAGUGGGUCUUUGUAAAAAAUAUCUUAUUAGAUUAAGAAACUGAGAUGAUUUGGUUUCUCCUUAAAAUAUUUUAUUCGAUUCAUCAUCUAAAAUAUAUAUAAAAAUACAUUUUUA
Raphanus sativus (radish) is the source of this 1345-nucleotide long non-coding RNA. RefSeq lists it as uncharacterized. The transcript is spliced from 5 exons. Lineage: Eukaryota; Viridiplantae; Streptophyta; Magnoliopsida; Brassicales; Brassicaceae. The record is from RefSeq and is a predicted model, not a curated record.